This 420-nucleotide ribosomal RNA is filed under the name uncultured bacterium. RNAcentral's name for it is "bacterial SSU rRNA". It matches the Rfam family "Bacterial small subunit ribosomal RNA", at positions 30 to 496 of the family's 1533-position model. The record is from RNAcentral.
UGAACGCUGGCGGCGUGCUUAACACAUGCAAGUCGAACGAACCUUCGGGUUAGUGGCGGACGGGUGAGUAACGCGUGAGAAUCUGCCCUCAGGAGGGGGAUAACAGCUGGAAACGGCUGCUAAUACCCCAUAUGCCGCGAGGUGAAAUGAAUUUCGCCUGAGGAUGAGCUCGCGUCUGAUUAGCUAGUUGGUGUAGGUAAUGGCUCACCAAGGCAUCGAUCAGUAGCUGGUCUGAGAGGAUGAUCAGCCACACUGGGACUGAGACACGGCCCAGACUCCUACGGGAGGCAGCAGUGGGGAAUUUUCCGCAAUGGGCGAAAGCCUGACGGAGCAACGCCGCGUGAGGGAUGAAGGCCUCUGGGCUGUAAACUUCUUUUAUCAAGGAAGAAGAUCUGACGGUACUUGAUGAAUAAGCCACGG